This 398-nucleotide ribosomal RNA is filed under the name uncultured bacterium. RNAcentral describes it as "bacterial SSU rRNA". It matches the Rfam family "Bacterial small subunit ribosomal RNA", at positions 29 to 455 of the family's 1533-position model. The record is from RNAcentral.
AACGAACGCUGGCGGCAGGCCUAACACAUGCAAGUCGAACGAGAUCUUCGGAUCUAGUGGCGGACGGGUGAGUAACGCGUGGGAACGUGCCCUUCUCUACGGAAUAGUCCUGGGAAACUGGGUUUAAUACCGUAUACGCCCUUCGGGGGAAAGAAUUUCGGGGAAGGAUCGGCCCGCGUUGGAUUAGGUAGUUGGUGGGGUAAUGGCCUACCAAGCCGACGAUCCAUAGCUGGUUUGAGAGGAUGAUCAGCCACACUGGGACUGAGACACGGCCCAGACUCCUACGGGAGGCAGCAGUGGGGAAUCUUAGACAAUGGGCGAGAGCCUGACCCAGCCACGCCGCGUGAACGAAGAAGGUUUUUGGAUUGUAAAGUUCUUUUCUACGGGAAGAAAAAGGG